RNAcentral lists this ribosomal RNA (801 nucleotides) under uncultured bacterium. Its description in RNAcentral is "bacterial SSU rRNA". It matches the Rfam family "Bacterial small subunit ribosomal RNA", at positions 69 to 867 of the family's 1533-position model. The record is from RNAcentral.
GUCUUUGGAGCUUGCUCCAAAGAAUACGAGCGGCGUCCGGCUGAGUAACGCGUAGGAAUCUGCCCCCGACUGGGGAAUAGCGUACCGAAAGGUACGGUAAUACCCCAUAGUCUCUUCCUUUUGGAAGAGUAAAGACCUUUACCGGUCGGUCAGGGAUGAGCCUGCGUCCUAUCAGGUAGUUGGUGAGGUAACGGCUCACCAAGCCAAUGACGGGUAGCUGGUCUCAUGAGGACGACCAGCCAGAGGGGGACUGAGACACGGCCCCCACUCCUACGGGAGGCAGCAAUUAGGAAUAGUCGGCAAUGGGCGAAAGCCUGACCGCGCGACACCGCGUGUAGGAUGAAGUUCUAACGAGCGUAAACUACUGUGGCAUGGGAAAAAGGCGCAAGCUUGAUGGUACCAUGCUAGAAAGGGGCCGCUAACUGCGUGCCAGAAGCGUCGGUAAGACGUGGGCCCCGAGCGUUAUCCGGUGUAACUGGGCAUAAAGAGUCGCGUAGGCGGCUCGUAAAGUUACCUUUUAAAUUCUACGGCUCAACCGUAGAACUGGGGGUAGUACUCACGAGCUAGAAUUUUCUUUAAGGGUAAAUGGAACUGUGGGAGGAGUAGUGAAAUGCGUUGAUCCCCACGGGAACACCAGUGGCGAAGGCGAUUUACUGUGAGAAAAUUGACGCUGAGGCACGAAAGCUAGGGGAGCGAAUCAGAUUAGAGACCUGAGUAGUCCUAGCCGUAAACGAAUGCCUGCUAGCUGCAUUUCCGAUCCCUUCGGGGAUUUAGGUGUGGCGAAGAUAAGUCGUUAAGCAG